CCGGCNCCACGAUGAAGGUGGCCGUGGACUUCGAGGAGUGUCUGAAGGACUCGCCCCGCUUCAGGUGACUUUCAACAUUCUUAAAUCUAUUUUGGUAUAUAGACGCUCCCCGAGUUACAUAAACCCGAG
RNAcentral lists this long non-coding RNA (129 nucleotides) under Gopherus agassizii (Agassiz's desert tortoise). RNAcentral's name for it is "lncRNA (ENSGAGG00000017551.1)". Lineage: Eukaryota; Metazoa; Chordata; Testudines; Testudinidae. The record is from RNAcentral.